AAACGACUCUCGGCAACGGAUAUCUCGGCUCACGCAUCGAUGAAGAACGUAGCAAAAUGCGAUACUUGGUGUGAAUUGCAGAAUCCCGUGAACCAUUGAGUUUGUGAACGCAAGUUGCGCCCAAAGCCAUCCGGCUGAGGGCACGCCUGCCUGGGCGUCACG
Molecule: ribosomal RNA, 162 nt
Filed under: Koelpinia linearis
Lineage: Eukaryota; Viridiplantae; Streptophyta; Magnoliopsida; Asterales; Asteraceae
Description: 5.8S ribosomal RNA
Rfam family: 5.8S ribosomal RNA
About the family: 5.8S ribosomal RNA (5.8S rRNA) is a component of the large subunit of the eukaryotic ribosome.
Source: RNAcentral